AACCAUAGAAACCUGCGGAGUACCUGCGGAAGGAUCAUUAAAGAUUGACCGAAAGGUCUUAUCUCUAUAUCCCUCACCUCUGUGAACUGUGGACCUCCGGGUCUAUUUAACAAACAUCAGUGUAAUGAACGUAUAUAUCAUUAAACAAAACAAAACUUUUAACAAUGGAUCU
This 172-nucleotide unclassified non-coding RNA is filed under the name soil metagenome. RNAcentral's name for it is "partial contains 5.8S ribosomal RNA, internal transcribed spacer 2, and large subunit ribosomal RNA". The record is from RNAcentral.